UACGUAGGGGGCAAGCGUUAUCCGGAUUUACUGGGUGUAAAGGGAGCGUAGACGGCGAUGCAAGUCUGAAGUGAAAGCCCGGGGCUCAACCCCGGGACUGCUUUGGAAACUGUAUGGCUGGAGUGCUGGAGAGGCAAGCGGAAUUCCCAGUGUAGCGGUGAAAUGCGUAGAUAUUAGGAAGAACACCAGUGGCGAAGGCGGCUUGCUGGACAGUAACUGACGUUGAGGCUCGAAAGCGUGGGGAGCAAACAGG
RNAcentral lists this ribosomal RNA (253 nucleotides) under uncultured bacterium. RNAcentral's name for it is "partial 16S ribosomal RNA". It matches the Rfam family "Bacterial small subunit ribosomal RNA", at positions 524 to 776 of the family's 1533-position model. The record is from RNAcentral.